RNAcentral lists this ribosomal RNA (490 nucleotides) under Rhabdophis rhodomelas. RNAcentral describes it as "partial 16S ribosomal RNA". It matches the Rfam family "Bacterial large subunit ribosomal RNA", at positions 1847 to 2612 of the family's 2925-position model. Lineage: Eukaryota; Metazoa; Chordata; Lepidosauria; Squamata; Natricidae. The record is from RNAcentral.
AAAAGGCAACGCCUGCCCAGUGAAUAAUUAAACGGCCGCGGUACCCUAACCGUGCAAAGGUAGCAUAAUCACUUGUCUAUUAACUGUAGACCGGUAUGAAAGGCAACAUGAGGGUUUAACUGUCUCUUGUAAUAGACCUAUAAAACUGAUCCCCUAGUAAAAAAGCUAGGAUACACCCAUAAGACCAGAAGACCCUGUGAAGCUUUAACUAAACUAUUAAACUAAAUAAUAACUACUUUAGGUUGGGGCGACCCUGGAAAAAAAAAGAACUUCCACAGAAUAAAACCCUUAAGGCCCACAAGCCAAUUAAUGACCCAGUAAUACUGAUAAUUGAACCAAGUUACUCCAGGGAUAACAGCGCCAUCUUCUUCAAGAGCCCAUAUCAAAAAGAAGGUUUACGACCUCGAUGUUGGAUCAGGACACCCCAAUGGUGUAACCGCUAUUAAAGGUUCGUUUGUUCAACGAUUAAUGUCCUACGUGAUCUGAGUUC